AUUGAACGCUGGCGGCAGGCCUAACACAUGCAAGUCGAGCGGAUGAGAGGAGCUUGCUCCUCGAUUCAGCGGCGGACGGGUGAGUAAUGCCUGGGAAUCUGCCCAGUAGUGGGGGACAACGUUUCGAAAGGAACGCUAAUACCGCAUACGUCCUACGGGAGAAAGUGGGGGAUCUUCGGACCUCACGCUAUUGGAUGAGCCUAGGUCGGGUUAGCUAGUUGGUAGGGUAAAGGCCUACCAAGGCGACGAUCCGUAACUGGUCUGAGAGGAUGAUCAGUCACACUGGAACUGAGACACGGUCCAGACUCCUACGGGAGGCAGCAGUGGGGAAUAUUGGACAAGGGGCGCAAGCCUGAUCCAGCCAUGCCGCGUGUGUGAAGAAGGCCCUCGGGUCGUAAAGCACUUUAAGUUGGGAGGAAGGGCUUACAGCGAAUACCUGUGAGUUUUGACGUUACCGACAGAAUAAGCACCGGCUAACUUCGUGCCAGCCGCCGCCGUAA
This 500-nucleotide ribosomal RNA is filed under the name uncultured bacterium. RNAcentral describes it as "partial 16S ribosomal RNA". It matches the Rfam family "Bacterial small subunit ribosomal RNA", at positions 30 to 523 of the family's 1533-position model. The record is from RNAcentral.